This 45-nucleotide non-coding RNA is filed under the name Trichobilharzia regenti. Lineage: Eukaryota; Metazoa; Platyhelminthes; Trematoda; Strigeidida; Schistosomatidae. The record is from RNAcentral.
AUCCACCUGGCGAGUCCCGAAUAGGACGAAAUACGCAUCCUGGAU